UCUAGAUUAGCAGAAUUUAAUGCGUUUGAUUUAGGUUCAAGAGGAGUAAAUAAUUACAUUUAGAA
This 65-nucleotide transfer RNA is filed under the name Xyloredo sp. E88. RNAcentral's name for it is "tRNA-Leu". Lineage: Eukaryota; Metazoa; Mollusca; Bivalvia; Myida; Pholadidae. RNAcentral also lists the same sequence under 1 other name. The record is from RNAcentral.